RNAcentral lists this ribosomal RNA (460 nucleotides) under uncultured bacterium. RNAcentral's name for it is "partial 16S ribosomal RNA". It matches the Rfam family "Bacterial small subunit ribosomal RNA", at positions 338 to 795 of the family's 1533-position model. The record is from RNAcentral.
CCUACGGGUGGCAGCAGUGAGGAAUAUUGGUCAAUGGACGAGAGUCUGAACCAGCCAAGUAGCGUGAAGGAUGACUGCCCUAUGGGUUGUAAACUUCUUUUAUAUGGGAAUAAAAUGUUCCAAGUGUGGGAUUUUGUAUGUACCAUAUGAAUAAGGAUCGGCUAACUUCGUUCCAGCAGCCGCGGUAAUACGGAGGAUCCGAGCGUUAUCCGGGUGUAUUGGGUUUAAAGGGAGCGUAGGGGGAUUGUUAAGUUAGUUGUGAAAGUUUGCGGCUCAACCGUAAAAUUGCAGUUGAAACUGGCAGUCUUGAGUACAGUAGAGGUGGGCGGAAUUCGUGGUGUAGCGGUGAAAUGCUUAGAUAUCACGAAGAACUCCGAUUGCGAAGGCAGCUCACUGGACUGCAACUGACACUGAGGCUCGAAAGUGUGGGGAUCAAACAGGAUUAGAUACCCUGGUAGUC